UCCUUGUUGGCUCAGUGGUAAAGAAUCUGUCUGUCAAUGUAGAGGACCUGGGUUCAAUCCCUGGAUGGGGAA
This 72-nucleotide transfer RNA is filed under the name Ovis aries (sheep). It matches the Rfam family "tRNA". From Rfam's summary of the family: Transfer RNA (tRNA) molecules are approximately 80 nucleotides in length. Their secondary structure includes four short double-helical elements and three loops (D, anti-codon, and T loops). Lineage: Eukaryota; Metazoa; Chordata; Mammalia; Artiodactyla; Bovidae. The record is from Rfam by way of RNAcentral.